GUUCCCCUUUUUCAUAAACACUAAUCUUUGAAGUCCCAAAAAAGACUAACCCGUUAGAUAUGAAUACAUGAAACACCCGCUUUGACUAUAAAAGAAUACAUGCAUACCUGGUUCAGGAAAGCAGGUUCUCACCGGAGCUAAGCUGACUUCGUCGGAACCCUAAAACAUUCAGAUCUCUCACCGGCAAAGAUCCCGACACCCGUGGUGUCGUCUGUUCAUGUUGAUCCUGACACCCGUGGUACCGUAACUUUGUCGGACCUUCACCGGAACCCUAUCAUCUUCUCUACGCCGCUAAUCACCACCGGACCCGCACCCUGAUUCCGUCACCACCGGAACCGCACCCUGAAUCCGACACCACCACACACUGAUAAUCUCUCUAACCACCACCACACCACCAGUGAUAGGCAACGCCGCCGUUCCGGCACACACAUGGGACAUGGCCAGCUACCUUUCUCUCUCUCUCUCCUUCUUUCUGAUCUUUCUCAUCGUUCCGGUGUGUGGGGUGUAGUAGGUUUAGGGUUUGAUAUUGGGUUUCACAUCAGACGCGUGGCCUGAAUCAUUCUCAGACGUGGAGGAGAGGAUGAACGCGCAAGGGCAUACAGUAAAUUUCUUCACGUUGUGUUUUAUUAGUUACUGGGUUCAUCACAGUGUGUUUUAGCAGUUACUGGUUUCAGUUACUGUUUCAUCACAAUGUGUUUUAUCAGUUACUGUUGCUAGUUCAUGUUGUGUUUUAUCAGUUACUGGUUGAUGUGAUUUUGGUAUUCUUGAUGUUGUGUUUUAUGAGUGACUGGUUUCAACACAAUGUGUUUUAGCAGUUACUGGUUGAUAUGAUUUUUGUCAUUCUUGAUGUUGUGUUUUAUCAAUUACCGGGUUCAUCACAAUGUGUUAUACCAGUUAUGAUUCAUGAAUGGCAUGUUCUUUUGUAUU
This 927-nucleotide long non-coding RNA is filed under the name Helianthus annuus (common sunflower). Its description in RNAcentral is "hypothetical non coding rna". Lineage: Eukaryota; Viridiplantae; Streptophyta; Magnoliopsida; Asterales; Asteraceae. The record is from RNAcentral.